CCACCUGCAAUGCAGGAGAUCUGGGUUCAAUUCCUGGGUUGGGAAGAUCCACCGAAGAAGGAAAUAGCUACUCACUCCUGUAUUCUUGCCGGUAGAAUUCCACGGAGAGAAGCCUAAUGGGCUACAGUCCAUGGGGUCGCACAGAGUUGGACACGCCUAAGCAACUAACACUUACAUACUUUCACUUUCAAGUUAUAUAUUGCUAUUUAUAAAUAAAACUUCUAUAUAAAACUUAGAAUCAGCUAAAUAUGGCAUAGUUUACAAAGCAAGAAUCUUAAAGCUACUAACUUUCCACAAACCAUAUAAUAAGCCACAAAGAUGUAAGUGCUAUUUUUUCAAUGCUUAGUCUACUAAAACGGCUAGCUUUUACUUAAGCACAUCUUACACAUAAACACAGAAAAGAAAAAAAAAAACAAACUCAUUGCUUCCUGAUUAUUUUACUCCAUUUUCCUCUACGUUCUUUGGGUGGAGAUAUUACAUAACCACGUGCUACUCAGCCCCUUUUCUCAACCUGAAAUUCAGUAACAUCACAUUCACUGCUUGAAACCAGCUAUGGUGGGAGUAUUUACACCACAGAAAUCAGCAAACACUAGAAAUCAGGACUUCCUUCACCCCCAGAGAGCCAGCUGUUAAACACUCACCAUGAUGAGCUCUGCACUAAUUGCCUGACUCUGCUAUACAAUAGUUCAGCAGCUAGCACAGUGCUCGGAACACAGCAGGCAUUAAAAUCUGAAGGGACACUAGAACAAGCUUCCCUGAAAGUCAUUUGCAAAAGUAUAAGAAGAAGAAAUAAAUUGCAAAACUACAAUGUAUUCUCUUUGACAAGUUAUAUACAGUUUUAUAUGUACUCUAUUAAAUAACAUCCCAUUAAUUCAAAUAAAUGUCUCAUAAAACAAUGAUUCAACUUAGCUACAGUUGGCAUUUUUCCAAACAAAUAAUCAGACUUUUAAAAGAAAUACAUUCUUGCCUCAGUUUUGUUUAGUUUGCAUUUCAGCAAAUUUAUAAAGAAAUUUUUCUAUAAAAAAAGCAUGUUUAGGUAGAUAUAUUCCUAAGUAUUUUAUUCUUUUCGUUGCAAUGGU
RNAcentral lists this long non-coding RNA (1079 nucleotides) under Capra hircus (goat). RNAcentral's name for it is "lncRNA (ENSCHIG00010015007.1)". Lineage: Eukaryota; Metazoa; Chordata; Mammalia; Artiodactyla; Bovidae. The record is from RNAcentral.